Molecule: ribosomal RNA, 391 nt
Filed under: uncultured Nitrospina sp.
Lineage: Bacteria; Pseudomonadati; Nitrospinota; Nitrospinia; Nitrospinales; Nitrospinaceae
Description: bacterial SSU rRNA
Rfam family: Bacterial small subunit ribosomal RNA
Source: RNAcentral
AACGAACGCUGGUGGCGUGCUUAACACAUGCAAGUCGAACGAGAAAGUUUCCUUCGGGAAAUUAGUAAAGUGGCGCAAGGGUGAGUAUCACGUGAAUAAUCUGCCCUCGAGAUCGGAAUAACAUGGUGAAAACUAUGCUAAUGCCGGAUAAGACCACAUUUCAUAAGAAAUGCGGUAAAAGGAGUCUCAAUCUUCACUCGAGGAUGAGUUCGCGCAACAUUAGCUUGUUGGUGAGAUAAAAGCUCACCAAGGCUACGAUGUUUAGCCGGCCUGAGAGGGUGAACGGCCACACUGGAACUGAGACACGGUCCAGACUCCUACGGGAGGCAGCAGUAGGGAAUCUUGCGCAAUGGGCGAAAAGCCUGACGCAGCCACGCCGCCGUGAGGGAUG